CCUACGGGAGGCAGCAGUGGGGGAUAUUGGACAAUGGGGGGAAACCCUGAUGCAGCGACGCCGCGUGAGUGAAGAAGUAUUUCGGUAUGUAAAGCUCUAUCAGCAGGGAAGAAAAUGACGGUACCUGAUUAAGAAGCACUGGCUAACUACGGGCCAGCAGCCGCGGUAAUAGGUAGGGGGCAGGCGUUAUCCGGAUUUACUGGGUGUAAAGGGAGCGUAGACGGCAGCACAAGUCUGGAGUGAAAUGCCCGGGCUUAACCCCGGAACUGCUUUGGAAACUGUGCAGUUAGAGUGCAGGAGAGGUAAGUGGAAUUCCUAGUGUAGCGGUGAAAUGCGUAGAUAUUAGGAAGAACACCAGUGGCGAAGGCGGCUUUCUGGACUGAAACUGACGCUGAGGCACGAAAGCGUGGGGAGCGAACAGGAUUAGAUACCCGUGUAGUC
This 441-nucleotide ribosomal RNA is filed under the name uncultured bacterium. RNAcentral's name for it is "partial 16S ribosomal RNA". It matches the Rfam family "Bacterial small subunit ribosomal RNA", at positions 338 to 795 of the family's 1533-position model. The record is from RNAcentral.